GAUGAACGCUGGCGGCGUGCUAAACACAUGCAAGUCGAACGGAAAGGCCCUGCUUGCAGGGUACUCGAGUGGCGAACGGGUGAGUAACACGUGGGUGAUCUGCCCUGUACUUUGGGAUAAGCCUGGGAAACUGGGUCUAAUACCGAAUAUGACAAUUGUUUGGAUGCGAUUGUGGAAAGCUUUUGCGGUAUGGGAUGAGCUCGCGGCCUAUCAGCUUGUUGGUGGGGUAAUGGCCUACCAAGGCGUCGACGGGUAGCCGGCCUGAGAGGGUGUACGGCCACAUUGGGACUGAGAUACGGCCCAGACUCCUACGGGAGGCAGCAGUGGGGAAUAUUGCACAAUGGGCGCAAGCCUGAUGCAGCGACGCCGCGUGGGGGAUGACGGCCUUCGGGUUGUAAACUCCUUUCGCAACCGACGAAGCCUUUUGGUGACGGUAGGUUGAGAAGAAGCACCGGCUAACUACGUG
RNAcentral lists this ribosomal RNA (466 nucleotides) under uncultured bacterium. RNAcentral describes it as "partial 16S ribosomal RNA". It matches the Rfam family "Bacterial small subunit ribosomal RNA", at positions 28 to 507 of the family's 1533-position model. The record is from RNAcentral.